AGUGAACGCUGGCGGUAGGCCUAACACAUGCAAGUCGAACGGCAGCACAGUAAGAGCUUGCUCUUACGGGUGGCGAGUGGCGGACGGGUGAGGAAUACAUCGGAAUCUACUUUUUCGUGGGGGAUAACGUAGGGAAACUUACGCUAAUACCGCAUACGACCUACGGGUGAAAGCAGGGGAUCUUCGGACCUUGCGCGAUUGAAUGAGCCGAUGUCGGAUUAGCUAGUUGGCGGGGUAAAGGCCCACCAAGGCGACGAUCCGUAGCUGGUCUGAGAGGAUGAUCAGCCACACUGGAACUGAGACACGGUCCAGACUCCUAAGGGAGGCAGCAGUGGGGAAUAUUGGACAAUGGGCGAAAGACUGAUCCAGCCAUACCGCGUGGGGGAAGAAGGCCUUCGGGUUGUAAAGCCCUUUUGUUGGGAAAGAAAAGCAGCAGGUUAAUACCACGCUGUUCUGACGGUACCCAAAGAAUAAGCACCGGCUAACUUCGUG
This 492-nucleotide ribosomal RNA is filed under the name uncultured bacterium. RNAcentral's name for it is "partial 16S ribosomal RNA". It matches the Rfam family "Bacterial small subunit ribosomal RNA", at positions 29 to 507 of the family's 1533-position model. The record is from RNAcentral.